GAAAUGCGAUAAGUAAUGUGAAUUGCAGAAUUCAGUGAAUCAUCGAAUCUUUGAACGCACAUUGCGCCCGCCAGUAUUCUGGCGGGCAUGCCUGUUCGAGCGUCAUUACAACCCUCAGGCCCCCGGGCCUGGCGUUGGGGAUCGGCGGAAGCCCCCUGCGGGCACAACGCCGUCCCCCAAAUACAGUGGCGGUCCCGCCGCAGCUUCCAUUGCGUAGUAGCUAACACCUCGCAACUGGAGAGCGGCGCGGCCACGCCGUAAAACACCCAACUUCUGAAUGUUGACCUCGAAUCAGGUAGGACUACCCGCUGAACUUAAGC
RNAcentral lists this unclassified non-coding RNA (320 nucleotides) under plant metagenome. Its description in RNAcentral is "partial contains 5.8S ribosomal RNA, internal transcribed spacer 2, and large subunit ribosomal RNA". The stretch from base 1 to 105 matches the Rfam family "5.8S ribosomal RNA", at positions 50 to 154 of the family's 154-position model. The record is from RNAcentral.